UUUAAGUUUCUACUACAAUAUUUUGCCACUUACUCUUAAUAUAAAGAUAGCAAUACUUUUGCAUAUUAAAAAAAAAAUAUUUUGCCACUUACUACAAAGUAAGUAUCCAAAUUAAAGCCUCUUGUUUAUACCACCUCAUUAUCCAAAAGAAUUUUAUCGGCUGCUCCGUCUCGUUUCAGUCUUUCAAAGUAGUAAAAUGCAUUUAUUUAAUGGAUCGGCCAUAAUUAUGGCGAUAGAUUUUUUCCACAAACGCAGUCGAAUUUUCAACCUUAGGAUUGGCAUGAAGAUUCGUGCUCACGGGGCAUCAGCACACACGCUUUGCUGUAUUGGUUCUGACACGGCGUAGAUGCAUACUGAUAUGCUUUUUAAACUUUGUUGUUGUUGUAAAUUAUAUAUUUAUAUAAAUUUACAUAAUAGUUACACCUCACUAAUACACUAUUUACAUAUGUAAUUUUAGGAUUUACAUAUGUAAUUUUAAGACUUACAUAUAUAAUUUUGGGGCUUACAUUGUAAAUACACUAAAAUUACAUAUGUAAUUUAGUGACUUACAAUGUAAACACAUGCCGACUAUAUUUUGUGAAAAAUAUGACGCCAUAAAUAUAGCUAGUCCCUUUAUUUAAUAGGAAACAUAGCACUGAUUAUCUCGUUUAAUGAUUUCUUGAGCAAUAAGCAUUUCUUCCAUUUAUACAUAUUCUUGUCCAGCAAGUUGCAGGAUGCGAUCGACUGCAUAAAUCACCAUGACCUUCAAUUCAGAGAUUUUUUUUUUGUAUCACCAUCCAAAAACAUUACACAUUGGAGUGGUGAAUCCAUCUCAGAAUAAAAAUUCAAUGCAGUGGAAGCAGGAGAAGAUAGAUUUGGCGAGGUGAGCAAGCAGCAUAAAUCUCUGAAUAUCUGAUCAGCAAUCAAUCUCCCAGAUACAGAGCGGGAUGAGCCUGGCCUACGUGAGCAGGCUGUGCGCCAGGGCGGUGCAGGCCGCCGUGCGGGCGGAGCAGCCGGCCACGACGCGCCGCCGGCCGCCGCACGCCGGGCGGCCGCCACCUCCCUCCUCCGGCGGUGGAUCGCCGGCCGAGGUGGCGCCGGCGGCGAAGUCGGUGGCGGAGGAGAAGGCGAGGAGGUUGAGGAGGAGGGCGGAGAAGGACGAGAAGGUGAUGCAUCUCGUCUGCUGGGGACCAAGCUAGUGCAAAACCUGAAGAAUGCUUAGUUUCAGUUAUUUCUGCAUAUGCAGUUUCUGAAGAUCAAUUUUCCUUUUCUUGCCUCUGCGAUUAAAAACUACAGAGCUUGGUUGUGGCCAGGAAGACCAGGAUUAGUUUUAGACUGUGUUUAUGUAGAUCCUGGGAAUUUUGUUUAAUUACAUGUAUAUAUGUUGGGCUGUUGGCCAGAUUAGUGCAGAGAUCUGAAGAAUGUUCAGACAGUUCUGCAUAUGCACUUGUCCAGUUCAAGCAGAAGGUAGAUUCUUGAAAGAUUGGCUGCAAAAAUAAUCCGAGAUUUAGUAUUUAAAACAAGGCAAUCUUUAGUCGCAACUCGCAAAUGUGAUGUGUUGACUGCUAUUCCCUGAUCUUACAUUUUACUGAUCAAUACUACAUAUAUUUUAUUGUCAGGUUAUAACAUGCUGCACUUCAAGGCUUCAAGCUGAGCAAACUCAGUUUCAAAGCAGCAUAGUUGUUCUGGCAAGCCACAAUCCGCAUUUUUUGGACUUCUGUUCCUGUAAAUCCUACCACAGCUUUUGGUGAAAUGUAUGUAAAUCCUACUAGAAUUUUUGGUGAAAUGUAUGUAUGCAUGCUGGCCAAGCUAGUGGAGUCUGGAGAGCCCUGAAGAAUGUUCAGUUCUGCUUCUGCUUGUGCAUAUGCACUUGUGCUGCAGUUUCUGAAGAAAGGUAGAUCCUUGAAACAUUGGAUACAGCCAUUAGUCGAUCUAUGAUUUCGAAUAAAAGAUCCUUGAAACUUCUUUUGUCGUUUGAAAAGUUAAAAGCGCGCCACAGUUCAAGCACAUCAAACUCAGGUUCUGAGUUUCGCAAAAUUUGUCAAUGAAACACAUCAUAUUUUCAGGCAAGAACUGGAGAUGAAAAAACUAAAAACCUUCACAUCACAUGCUUUUUCCGUUGGCAAAAAUAUUCACGUCUUUGAUCCAUGGAGAUCGAGGAAGGCAGGAAGAAAGAAAUCAAGAAAACAAAAAUCACAAGCAAAGCCCAAGAAAAUGGACAUGGAAAUGGAUGUGGCCUCAGGAGUUUGGGCCCCAGAAGGAGAUGAACAUGAACGCCCGCAGCGACUCCU
Oryza sativa Japonica Group (Japanese rice) is the source of this 2270-nucleotide non-coding RNA. The record is from RefSeq and is a predicted model, not a curated record. Lineage: Eukaryota; Viridiplantae; Streptophyta; Magnoliopsida; Poales; Poaceae.